GAAAAGAAACCAACAGGGAUUGCCCCAGUAACGGCGAGUGAAGCGGCAACAGCUCAAAUUUGAAAUCUGGCCCCCCGGCCCGAGUUGUAAUUUGCAGAGGAUGCUUUUGGUGAGGCACCUACCGAGUCCCCUGGAAUGGGGCGCCAUAGAGGGUGAGAGCCCCGUAUGGUAGGACGCCGAACCUCUGUAAAGCUCCUUCGACGAGUCGAGUAGUUUGGGAAUGCUGCUCUAAAUGGGAGGUAAAUUUCUUCUAAAGCUAAAUACCGGCCAGAGACCGAUAGCGCACAAGUAGAGUGAUCGAAAGAUGAAAAGCACUUUGAAAAGAGGGUUAAAAAGUACGUGAAAUUGUUGAAAGGGAAGCGCUUGUGACCAGACUUGCGCCGGGCGGAUCAUCCAGCGUUCUCGCUGGUGCACUCCGCCCGGUUCAGGCCAGCAUCGGUUUUCGCCGGGGGACAAAGGCUUCGGGAACGUGGCUCCUUUCGGGGAGUGUUAUAGCCCGUUGCGUAAUACCCCGGCGGGGACCGACGACCGCGCUUCGGCAAGGAUGCUGGCGUAAUGGUCAUCAGCGACCCGUCUUGAAACACGGACCGAGGAGUCAAGCAUUAGUGCGAGUGUUUGGGUGUAAAACCCGCACGCGUAAUGAAAGUGAACGUAGGUGAGAGCUUCGGCGCAUCAUCGACCGAUCCUGAUGUUUUCGGAAGGAUUUGAGUAGGAGCAUUAACGCUUGGACCCGAAAGAUGGUGAACUAUACUUGAAUAGGGUGAAGCCAGAGGAAACUCUGGUGGAGGCUCGCAGCGGUUCUGACGUGCAAAUCGAUCGUCAAAUUUGAGUAUAGGGGCGAAAGACUAAUCGAACCAUCUAGUAGCUGGUUUCAGCCGAAGUUUCCCUCAGGAUAGCAGUGUCGUCUUCAGUUUUAUGAGGUAAAGCGAAUGAUUAGGGACUCGGGGGCGAUUUUUAGCCUUCAUCCAUUCUCAAACUUUAAAUAUGUAAGAAGCCCUUGUUACUUAGUUGAACGUGGGCCUUCGAAUGUACCGACACUAGUGGGCCAUUUUUGGUAAGCAGAACUGGCGAUGCGGGAUGAACCGAACGCGGGGUUAAGGUGCCGGAGUGGACGCUCAUCAGACACCACAAAAGGCGUUAGUACAUCUUGACAGCAGGACGGUGGCCAUGGAAGUCGGAAUCCGCUAAGGACUGUGUAACAACUCACCUGCCGAAUGUACUAGCCCUGAAAAUGGAUGGCGCUCAAGCGUCCCACCCAUACCCCGCCCCCAGGGUAGAAACGAUGCCCUGGGGAGUAGGCUGACGCGGGGGUAGCGACGAAGGCUAGGGCGUGAGCCCGGCUAGAGCUGCCCCUGGUGCAGAUCUCGGUGAGAGUAGCAAAUACUUCAAUGAGAACUUGAAGGACCGAAGUGGGGAAAGGUUCCAUGUGAACAGCAGUUGGACGUGGGUUAGCCGAUCCUGAGCCAUAGGGAAGUUCCGUUUCAAAGGGGCGCUAGCGCCCCGUAUGGCGAAAGGGAAGCAGGUUAAUAUUCCUGCGCCUGGAUGUGGGUUUUUCGCGGCAACGCAACUGAACGCGGAGACGGCGGCGGGGGCCCCGGGCAGAGUUCUCUUUUCUUCUUAACGAUCCACCACCCUGGAAACGGUUUGUCCGGAGAUAGGGUUCAGCGGUCGGAAGAGCCCAGCACUUCUGUUGGGUCCGGUGCGCCCUCGACGUCCCUUGAAAAUCCGCGGGAGGGAAUAA
RNAcentral lists this ribosomal RNA (1741 nucleotides) under Pyricularia grisea. RNAcentral describes it as "eukaryotic LSU rRNA". It matches the Rfam family "Eukaryotic large subunit ribosomal RNA", at positions 56 to 1828 of the family's 3401-position model. The record is from RNAcentral. Lineage: Eukaryota; Fungi; Ascomycota; Sordariomycetes; Magnaporthales; Pyriculariaceae.